RNAcentral lists this ribosomal RNA (405 nucleotides) under uncultured bacterium. RNAcentral describes it as "bacterial SSU rRNA". It matches the Rfam family "Bacterial small subunit ribosomal RNA", at positions 34 to 450 of the family's 1533-position model. The record is from RNAcentral.
CGCUUGCGGCGUGCCUAAGAAAUGCAAGUCGAACGGGGGCUUCGGCCCUAGUGGCGAACGGUCGCGUAACACGUAAGCAACCUGCCCUGAAGUGGGGGACAACAUCCCGAAAGGGGUGCUAAUACCGCAUGUGGUCACGAGUCGGCAUCGGCUUGUGUCUAAAGAUUUAUCGCUUCAGGAUGGGCUUGCGGCCUAUCAGGUAGUUGGUGGGGUAAUGGCCUACCAAGCCGACGACGGGUAGCUGGUCUGAGAGGACGAUCAGCCGGAUUGGGACUGAGAUACGGCCCAGACUCCUACGGGGGGCAGCAAUUAGGAAUCUUGCGCAAUGGGGGGAACCCUGACGCAGCGACGUCGCGUGAAGGAUGAAGGUCCUCGGAUCGUAAACUUCUUUUGAGUGGAAGAAAU